This 20-nucleotide ribosomal RNA is filed under the name Tetratrichomonas gallinarum. RNAcentral describes it as "partial large subunit ribosomal RNA". RNAcentral also lists the same sequence under 6 other names. Lineage: Eukaryota; Parabasalia; Trichomonadida; Trichomonadidae. The record is from RNAcentral.
UACGUAGUCUGCGACAUACA